AGUCGUAACAAGGUAUCCGUAGGUGAACCUGCGGAUGGAUCAUUAACAAAGGUGUUUUUGAAGUUGUGUGAACAGUUGGAGGAGGUGGUGGUGGUGGUGGUACUGGGUGGUAUUGGGUGGUAUUGAGUGGUGUAACCUUGGUCAACCUCACUCAACCUCACUCUCCAAACCUCCACCACUCCGUCCCUAUAAUGUAUACAAACUGAUGUCUGCUAGUUUCAAACUAAAACAACUUUUAGCAACGGAUCUCUUGGCUCUC
Molecule: unclassified non-coding RNA, 259 nt
Filed under: fungal sp.
Lineage: Eukaryota; Fungi
Description: partial internal transcribed spacer region
Rfam family: Eukaryotic small subunit ribosomal RNA (bases 1-45)
Source: RNAcentral